AACUUAGCGAACUGAAACAUCUGAGUAGCUAAAGGAAGGAAAAUCAACCGAGACCCCGUUAGUAGCGGCGAGCGAGAGCGGA
Hordeum vulgare subsp. vulgare (domesticated barley) is the source of this 82-nucleotide non-coding RNA. Lineage: Eukaryota; Viridiplantae; Streptophyta; Magnoliopsida; Poales; Poaceae. The record is from Rfam.